RNAcentral lists this unclassified non-coding RNA (336 nucleotides) under soil metagenome. RNAcentral describes it as "partial contains 5.8S ribosomal RNA, internal transcribed spacer 2, and large subunit ribosomal RNA". The stretch from base 1 to 120 matches the Rfam family "5.8S ribosomal RNA", at positions 35 to 154 of the family's 154-position model. The record is from RNAcentral.
GAUGAAGAACGCAGCGAAAUGCGAUAAGUAAUGUGAAUUGCAGAAUUCAGUGAAUCAUCGAAUCUUUGAACGCACAUUGCGCCCGCCAGUAUUCUGGCGGGCAUGCCUGUUCGAGCGUCAUUUCAACCAUCAAGCCCCCGGCUUGUGUUGGGGACCUGCGGCUGCCGCAGGCCCUGAAAAGCAGUGGCGGGCUCGCUGUCACACCGAGCGUAGUAGCAUACAUCUCGCUCUGGGCGUGCUGCGGGUUCCGGCCGUUAAACCACCUUCAUAACCCAAGGCUGACCUCGGAUCAGGUAGGAAGACCCGCUGAACUUAAGCAUAUCAAUAAGCGGAGGA